AGCGCCGAGUGGCGCUGCCGCUGCUGCACAAGUGUCGUAAAGCGCGGGCCCGGAGGCGCCUUGGGCGCGCGUGCGCAGGGCGCUUUCUCCCGAGAGCGCGCGGAGGACAAGGGCUGUGCGUGUACCUGUGCGGCUGGGGAAGUCUCCUGGAUUGCAAGGGAGCCCCAGGUCCCCAGAUACCUGGGGUAAAGUAAAGUUGUGUCUCCAGCUCCUAGCUCCGUGCCUGGCACUCACUGCGUGUUCAAUACAUAUUUGCUACACGGAUGAAGGAAAGAAUGAAUCAAAAGGCAGUGACUGUGGCUGAAACAGGGUGUGAAGCCGUGUGAUCUGAG
Long non-coding RNA from Equus caballus (horse), 332 nucleotides. RefSeq lists it as uncharacterized. Lineage: Eukaryota; Metazoa; Chordata; Mammalia; Perissodactyla; Equidae. The record is from RefSeq and is a predicted model, not a curated record.